UACAGAGGGGGCAAGCGUUGUUCGGAAUUACUGGGCGUAAAGGGUUCGUAGGUGGCUGGCUAAGUCAGACGUGAAAUCCCUCAGCUCAACUGGGGAACUGCGUCUGAGACUGGUCAGCUUGAGUGCAGGAGAGGAACGCGGAAUUCCAGGUGUAGCGGUGAAAUGCGUAGAUAUCUGGAGGAACACCGGUGGCGAAGGCGGCGUUCUGGACUGCAACUGACACUGAGGAACGAAAGCCAGGGGAGCAAACGGG
Molecule: ribosomal RNA, 253 nt
Filed under: uncultured bacterium
Lineage: Bacteria
Description: partial 16S ribosomal RNA
Rfam family: Bacterial small subunit ribosomal RNA
Source: RNAcentral